GCGGGCGUGGCGGAAUUGGUAGACGCACCGGUUUUAGGUACCGACGGCGCAAGCCGUGGGGGUUCAAGUCCCUCCGCCCGCACCA
This 85-nucleotide transfer RNA is filed under the name Alphaproteobacteria bacterium. RNAcentral describes it as "tRNA-Leu". It matches the Rfam family "tRNA". Rfam says of the family: Transfer RNA (tRNA) molecules are approximately 80 nucleotides in length. Their secondary structure includes four short double-helical elements and three loops (D, anti-codon, and T loops). Further hydrogen bonds mediate the characteristic L-shaped molecular structure. tRNAs have two regions of fundamental functional importance: the anti-codon, which is responsible for specific mRNA codon recognition, and the 3' end, to which the tRNAs corresponding amino acid is attached (by aminoacyl-tRNA synthetases). tRNAs cope with the degeneracy of the genetic code in two manners: having more than one tRNA (with a specific anti-codon) for a particular amino acid; and 'wobble' base-pairing, i.e. permitting non-standard base-pairing at the 3rd anti-codon position. Lineage: Bacteria; Pseudomonadati; Pseudomonadota; Alphaproteobacteria. RNAcentral also lists the same sequence under 2 other names. The record is from RNAcentral.